AUUGAACGCUGGCGGCAUGCUUUACACAUGCAAGUCGGACGGCAGCACAGAGAAGCUUGCUUCUUGGGUGGCGAGUGGCGAACGGGUGAGUAACAUAUCGGAACGUACCGAGCAGUGGGGGAUAACUAAUCGAAAAAUUAGCUAAUACCGCAUAUUUUCUGAGGAAGAAAGCAGGGGGCCUUUGGGCCUUGCGCUGUUUGAGCGGCCGAUAUCUGAUUAGCUAGUUGGUGGGGUAAAGGCCUACCAAGGCGACGAUCAGUAGCGGGUCUGAGAGGAUGAUCCGCCACACUGGGACUGAGACACGGCCCAGACUCCUACGGGAGGCAGCAGUGGGGAAUUUUGGACAAUGGGCGCAAGCCUGAUCCAGCCAUGCCGCGUGUCUGAAGAAGGCCCUCGGGUUGUAAAGGACUUUUGUCAGGGAAGAAAAGGGCGGGGUUAAUACCCCUGUCUGAUGACGGUACCUGAAGAAUAAGCACCGGCUAACUACGUG
Molecule: ribosomal RNA, 490 nt
Filed under: uncultured bacterium
Lineage: Bacteria
Description: partial 16S ribosomal RNA
Rfam family: Bacterial small subunit ribosomal RNA
Source: RNAcentral